GCAGAUUCGGUACCCCUCGGGGUGUAACAGGGAAAUCGGGGAGCGCAGUCUACGCUGCGGCUCCACAAGCCGAUGCGGUCCCGCCGCCGUAAUGCUGAGGAUGCUCCAAUAUGUCACUGGGAAACCGGGAAGGCGGAGCGGACGAAGAUGCAGAGCCGGAAGACCUACCGAAUC
This 174-nucleotide non-coding RNA is filed under the name uncultured Centipeda sp. Lineage: Bacteria; Bacillati; Bacillota; Negativicutes; Selenomonadales; Selenomonadaceae. The record is from RNAcentral.